CGAACGGCUCCGUACAACUGCUAUAAUCCUGCCGUGGGGUGAGACCCGGAUAAGCAGCGGUAAACCUGCGCCUAAAACGUAGAGGGGACCGCGGGCCCUUCGUGGGCUCGCGGGGCCCCAACCUCAAAGUACCCAAUGCCGCGCCAGCGAGCGGGGAAACGGGGGCCUCCACGUACUUGGAAUGCAGCCAGCCCGCCUCCCCUCUGCGGGGGAGGGGGGCUCGGCCUGGGGUUACGACCCCAGUGCCCUGCACUCUAGCCCAGGAACGCUGAAAGGAGUCAAACCGAAGGCACAGUAAGGCCCCCGCAAGGGGCAGGCCGAUGGGCACGAUGGGUUUCAGGCCUAUCAACCCGCUGGUAGGGUAUUGGCCUACCAGGGUUGCAACGGGUACAGAGGAUUAGGGUUUGAUCCUGGAGAGGUGGCCCGAGAAAUUGCCACCACUGCUACGGCAGGCAGCAGGCGCGCAACGUUCCCAAUGUUAUCACAUGAGGACGUGAGGGGGCGUAACAACGCCCCGCAUACGCGGGGCGGAUUGAAAUGGGGCGGGGCCUUAAACACCCCCGCCGAGUAGCAAAUUGGAGGACAAGUCUG
RNAcentral lists this ribosomal RNA (591 nucleotides) under uncultured Reticularia. RNAcentral describes it as "bacterial SSU rRNA". It matches the Rfam family "Eukaryotic small subunit ribosomal RNA", at positions 90 to 563 of the family's 1831-position model. The record is from RNAcentral. Lineage: Eukaryota; Evosea; Eumycetozoa; Liceales.